CCCAAGGACACAUCGACCAGCGAAGCCAAAGCUUCUGGCUGAGGAAUCAUGACCGUGGAGUCGCGACAACAAGUACAACAUGUGAAUGUAAGCUUCUAAAUUGGAGACACAAAGGAAGAAAAAAGACAGAGCACAUUCAGGACUGAAAGAGUAAUAUGUAGUAUUCUGUAGUAGUCUGCAGUAGUCCGUAGUAGUCUGCAGUAGUCUCUAGUAGUCUGUAGUAGUCUGCAGUAGUCAGUAGUAGUCUGCAGUAGUCUCUAGUAGUCUGUAGUAGUCUGCUGUAGUCUGUAGUAAUCUGCAGUAGUCCGUAGUAGUCUGCAGUAGUCUCUAGUAGUCUUUAGUAGUCUGCAGUAGUCUGAAGUACUCUGUAGUAGUCUGCAGUAGUCUGCAGUAGUCUGUAAUAGUCUAUAGUAGUUUCUAGUAGUCUGUAGUAGUUUGUAGUAUUCUGCAGUAGUCUCUACUA
Molecule: long non-coding RNA, 463 nt
Organism: Gasterosteus aculeatus aculeatus (three-spined stickleback)
Lineage: Eukaryota; Metazoa; Chordata; Actinopteri; Perciformes; Gasterosteidae
Source: Ensembl